AGCUCCAAUAGCGUAUAUUAAAGUUGCUGCAGUUAAAAAGCUCGUAGUUGCAUUUCCGAGGCAAGGGAUUAGUCCGACCUUUGGUGGGUAUUUAAUCCUCUUGCCUCGUCCUUGAGUGGUGCUUCUUGGUAUUAAGUUAUCGAGGAGAUAGCCGCUCAUCGUUUACUGUGAGAAAAUUAGAGUGUUCAAAGCAGGCUUAUGCCGUUGAAUAUAUUAGCAUGGAAUAAUAAGAUAGGACCUCGGUACUAUUUUGUUGGUUUGAGAACCAAGGUAAUGAUAAAUAGGGACAGUUGGGGGUAUUCGUAUUCAGUUGUCAGAGGUGAAAUUCUUAGAUUUACGGAAGACGAACUACUGCGAAAGCAUUUACCAAGGAUGUUGUCA
This 381-nucleotide ribosomal RNA is filed under the name uncultured marine Chaetocerotaceae. Its description in RNAcentral is "SSU rRNA". It matches the Rfam family "Eukaryotic small subunit ribosomal RNA", at positions 587 to 972 of the family's 1831-position model. Lineage: Eukaryota; Bacillariophyta; Thalassiosirophyceae; Chaetocerotales; Chaetocerotaceae. The record is from RNAcentral.